GCCAGUUGCAUUUUAAUGGGCCUGGUUCUGCUGCAGCCUCCACUGUGUCCAAGGCUGCUACCCUCUAGAUUUCCUAGAUGCUUGGGACAGAUUCAACCAACAGAAAGGUUCUGAGAAUGACAGGCCAGAUUUUUUUCAAAAGGAUCAAAUAUUCCUAAUCCUGGAGUUUGAGUUUGGAGGCAUCGAUCUGGAGCAAACAGCAAUGGAAAGGUAUUAAAGGCACUGGAGAAGUCGAAGAACAGAAUCCUCACAGUGCUGCUGGGCUUCUCAAAGUGGGCCAGGGAACGAUGGAGGAGGUAGAUGAUGGCGUCCUCUACUUUGAUGCCAGGCUGGUAGGCAAACUGCAGCGGAUCCAUUGCUGAGCUCACCAUGCAGUGCAGUUGAUGUAGAACCAGUUUCUCAAUAAAGAUGACUACUAAACCAAUACCGAAGGUAGGUGGUGGAAAAAAAAAAGAUCCUCUGCAAGCACUCAUCUGCUCUGUACAUACAGUAACACCUUGAUGUUGCGUGACGGAUCAUCUGAUUACACACACUUUGCCACAGAAUCUGCCUCACAAAGAUGAUGCGAUGCACAUUAGGGUAGUUAUGGCUCACAAUGAGUUCAGUUAUUGUGAGGCAGGUUGAGUGGCUGUUAUUCUCCCGCAGUUAAAGCAGGCUCUGAGACAGGAAGUCCAAUGAUUGAGCAUGUCUAAACAGCCACAAUAAAUUGUAAUAAAUCACUGUUUAGAAUACUUGCAAAGAUCGGCACAACAUUGAAGAGUCUUCCUGGGCAUAAGAGCAUCAACCGGCCAACAAGGAGGACGCGAUUUCAGUCUCACCAUAAACUGGAAAAUCACCGGAACACCGCAGAUGCGCUAAAUUCUUCCUCAUCAGGUGUCGACAAGGUCGUGAUAUCGCUGCAGUCUAAUGAAGCAGGAUGCUCCGAAAACUUAGCUUUGUUGGCAGGUGAUUCUGUAAGGGACCUGACAGUGGCGAGCUGACUGACCUGUCAUUCUUUUAGCAAAUGCCAUGUGUCGUAACGUAAUCGACGGUUGUUAGCACUGAAACGGGCUAAAAAAAUAAUUGUUACGUUGAUUAAUGUUAACAAUGUGGGUCUCAUUGUGUGUCAAAACACAACCGCAAUUCUUCAAGAGUUACUCUAGUGUUCUCGUCCAGGGUGUUGAAACUCUAAACUAAACACGGAGCUAACCAGACGUCAAAUGAAGAGGAUUCACUUCAUAAAA
Betta splendens (Siamese fighting fish) is the source of this 1223-nucleotide long non-coding RNA. RefSeq lists it as uncharacterized. NCBI's taxonomy places the organism in Eukaryota, Metazoa, Chordata, Actinopteri, Anabantiformes, Osphronemidae. The record is from RefSeq and is a predicted model, not a curated record. The transcript has 3 exons.